This 319-nucleotide long non-coding RNA is filed under the name Phoenix dactylifera (date palm). RNAcentral describes it as "long non-coding RNA (PDAC_LNC021174)". The record is from RNAcentral. Lineage: Eukaryota; Viridiplantae; Streptophyta; Magnoliopsida; Arecales; Arecaceae.
GCACAAUUGGAAUUUUGCAAUUUAUAUAGAAUUCUUCUUUCACACUUAUCUACCAUCUUGUCCUGCGAAGUGCUAACUGAGUUUAGAUUGUGGCAUGUAACUUUAAGUUGAAAAGUUUACCAUAGAAAGCAAGUCCACCAUACUACUUCACAUGAUAAUUAUAUUACAGGUAAUAAUCACUACAUAAGCUACAUUAUUAUAGGUUAAUAGAAUUACCAGCAACGUGACAUAUAUAACUUGAUCAAAACAGAAAAAUUUAAAGUAGAACAUGUGGAACCAGAAUGUCAACAUGACCUAGUAAGCUGGACCAAUUCAUUUU